This is a non-coding RNA of Paramuricea clavata, 841 nucleotides long. The record is from the annotation of a GenBank genome assembly. NCBI's taxonomy places the organism in Eukaryota, Metazoa, Cnidaria, Anthozoa, Malacalcyonacea, Plexauridae.
GGUACAAUUAUAUAAUACCUGGCCAUAUAAAGAUGUGUGAUUCAUUGGCUACGUGGCUACGUGGCUACAUCUUGAAAUCAAAAGCACCAUUUGGAAGAAAACGCAGUUUGACAUCCAGCAAAAAUAGGUUUUCGAAAUGUAAGGUUAGGUUUUAGGAUUUUGUUUAGGGGUAGGGUCAGCUUUAGGGUUAAGGUUUAGCGUUGGGGUUAGGGUUAAGGUUAGGGUUAGGGGUUAGGUUAAGGUUAGGGUUAGGGUUAGGGUUAAGGUUAGGAUUAUGAUUAAGGUUAGGGUUAGGAUUAAGGUUAGGGGUUAAUAGGGGUUAGGGAUUAGGGGUUAGGGUUAGGGUUGGGGUUAGGGGUUAGGGGUUAGGGUUAUGGUUAGGGUUAGAGAAAGCGUUUUGUUAGGAGUAAUGUCAGGAUGGGGUUUAGGAUUUGGGUUAGUGUUAGGAUUUGGGUUAGUGUUAGGGUUAGGGGUUAGGGGUUAGGGUUAGGGUUGGGGUUGGUGUUAGGGGUUAUGGUUAGGGUUAGAGAAAGCGUUUUGUUAGGAUUAGAUUAGUGUUAGGGUUAGGGGUUAGGGGUUAGGGUUGGGGUUAGGGGUUAUGGUUAGGGUUAGAGAAAGCGUUUUGUUAGGAUUAGGUUAGGGUUAGGGUUAGGGGUUAGGGGUUAGGGUUAGGGGUUAGGGGUUAGAUGUUGGGGUUGGGGUUAGGGUUAGAGAAAGCGUUUUGUUAGGAGUAAUGUCAGGUUGGGGUUUAGGAUUUGGGUUAGUGUUAGGGUUGAAGUUAUGGCUAGGUUUUGGGUUGAGGUCAGGGUUAUUACAAUUGGAUUUUUCGUGUAUGAAAAUA